CCCAACUAUCCCUAUUAAUCAUUACGUCAAUCCUAGAAACCAACAAAAUAGGAUCAAACGUCCUAUUUCAUUAUUCCAUGCUAAUGUAUUCAAGCGCUUGCCUGCUUUAAACACUCUAAUUUUUUCAAAGUAACAGUCCUGAUUCCCCGCAACACCAAAUUAAUGACAUUACGGUUCAUCAAAGAGGGAGGAAUCAACAAGGCCAGUGCAUACCAUUGGCACGACCGACCUGCUGACCCCGAAAUUCAACU
Molecule: ribosomal RNA, 251 nt
Filed under: uncultured Glomus
Lineage: Eukaryota; Fungi; Glomeromycota; Glomeromycetes; Glomerales; Glomeraceae
Description: partial 18S ribosomal RNA
Source: RNAcentral